AGCACUGUAUUGAAGCCUGUGGAAUAGAAUCGUCCCCAUUCUUGGUUAUGCUGUAGUGUGAAAGAAUUGCUGGCUCUCUGUUGCACAGCCAACUUUGUGCCAUUCUGCUGUUGCUGUACGGAGUUAAGGAAUGUAA
This is a non-coding RNA of Canis lupus familiaris (dog), 136 nucleotides long. Lineage: Eukaryota; Metazoa; Chordata; Mammalia; Carnivora; Canidae. The record is from Rfam.